GUACACAUAAUUUAUCCGGUAAAAUAGUUGAUUUCCAAUCAGUUUUGGUGGGUUCAAGUCCCACUGUGUGCA
This 72-nucleotide transfer RNA is filed under the name Agelas schmidtii (Pipes of Pan sponge). Its description in RNAcentral is "tRNA-Gly". It matches the Rfam family "tRNA". From Rfam's summary of the family: Transfer RNA (tRNA) molecules are approximately 80 nucleotides in length. The record is from RNAcentral. Lineage: Eukaryota; Metazoa; Porifera; Demospongiae; Agelasida; Agelasidae.